RNAcentral lists this long non-coding RNA (760 nucleotides) under Equus asinus (donkey). Its description in RNAcentral is "lncRNA (ENSEASG00005035680.1)". The record is from RNAcentral. Lineage: Eukaryota; Metazoa; Chordata; Mammalia; Perissodactyla; Equidae.
CUAGUAUUUCUUCUGCAAAGCCUUAUCUGAAAGAUAAAAGCAAGGUCACUGCUGUUGGUUCUACAAGAGCUUCCCCAAGAAAGCAAAGAGUUGUCACCUCAAUGGCCACUACUGUUGGUUCUACAAAGGCUUAUAUGACAGAGCAAAGCACUGUCACUACUAUUGCACCUACAACAGCUUCCCCAACUGAGCAAACUGUUGUCACCUCAAUGGCCACAACUGUUGGUUCUACAAAGGCUUAUACGACAGAGCAAAGCACUGUCACUACUAUUGCACCUACAACAGCUUCCCCAACUGAGCAAACUGUUGUCACCUCAAGGGCCACCACUAUUGGUUCCACAAAGGCUUACACGACAGAGGAAAGCAAGGUCACUGCUGUUUUUUCUGCAAAAGAUUUCUCAAAAGAGGAAAGUGAGGUCCCUGCUAUCAACUCCACAAAAGCUUGUUGGAAUGGUGAAAGCAACGCCCUGCAGCUGCAGCUCAGCAACACUUUGGCCUGUUACGCCUACCUCCUCCUCCUCAUCAUGAGCGUGGUCUACUCUGCCAUCAUGGCCUUCUGUCUGUUGAGGAGAGCAGCAGUCUGUGGCAACGGAAAGAGUUUGUAACAGCUGGUGGCACAAAGAAGGCAACUUUCCUCCAUUGUUUAUUUUCCCUAAAACUGUCUGCCAAGGAUCUAUUUGGGGUUUCUCUCUUUGUAUGGGUUAUUUCAGUUCAUGGGGUAUUUUUCUGUUAUAUCAACGUUAGAAAAUAGUUUUCUAAA